Molecule: non-coding RNA, 1384 nt
Organism: Oncorhynchus mykiss (rainbow trout)
Lineage: Eukaryota; Metazoa; Chordata; Actinopteri; Salmoniformes; Salmonidae
Source: RefSeq, a predicted model, not a curated record
UAGACCCACUCCAAUUUGCAUACCGCCCCAACAGAUCCACAGAUGAUGCAAUCUCUAUUGAGAGAAAUGGCCCUGUUUGUUUUUUUUUUUUUACCAGAAAAGGUAACUCAUCCACCAUGGCAGAAGAGGAAGUUCCAGACUGUUGUUUGGGAAACAAUAACAAAGAGGCAUGAGGAUUGGGUGUUGAGGGACGGGACCACAUUGUCCAAGUUCAUCCCUCAGGACAUCCCGUGCGUGGACGUGCUGUGCCAGUGUGAUUUUUGAGCGCAAGCAUCCAGUUGUGGAGAUCGAGCCUGUGGAUGGACAGAUCAGUAGCUCAUCAAAUGUGAUACAACAAUGAAUUUGUAAAUAUAUCUGCACAGUAUGUUUGUGUAUGGUUCUCAUGACUUAAGAUUGGAUGUUGAGGGACUACUUGUCACAUUGUCCAAGGUGGGUUUCUGUUAUGGUCAGAAAAAUGUGUUUUCUGUCUAGAUAAAAAUGGUUUUACAGCCUUAAAAAAGAUUCCCCCACUGACCAAAUAUCUCUUUGUUUACAAGUUCAACAGGAGUGCAUCCCUCAGACCAUCCUGUGCAUGGACAUCCUGUGUCAGUGGGAUCCGAGCGCUGGCGUCCAGUUGUGGAGACUACAGCACAUCGAGCCUGUGAACAGACAGCAGGUGCCGCUUCCAGUGAAUUGGAGCUGACCUUGGACCUGGUGCCAGUGAGGAUAGUCUUCACUGAGGCGUUAAGACCCUCCCUCUUGAUAUAAAAAUCCUUUGACUUCACUGCCCCUUCAAUGGUAAGGCCCCUUGCACCAUAGGGACACUUGACCUCCACCGCUGUGGUGGCCACUAGACCAUCUGGUGAGGCACCCAGGAUCCCAGACCCCAUGACUCCUGCACAUCCAUCCCUGUAGACAUUUUGAAUGCCUUGAUGUCCUCUUCUUUGUUAUCUGUGCCCCACUUUACAGACAACAUCCCACCCAAUGAUAAUCCACAGAAUCUGCUUCGGAGACGGUUCAGAGAGAGAGAGAGAGAGAAAGAGAGAGAUAACCAUACUGAAGAUCCUCCUCUGUGGGGUCUUGGGACAGAGGGUCGUAGUCUUCGGUCGAGUACAGGUCCUCCACUUGCUGCACCUGGUUGGACAUGGCUGGCUUCCUUCUCUUACAUUCCACACCCAUACGACCGAUAUUGUGAACCUCCAAAAUAGGCUGCAUGGCUACACUGAUAAGCUCUAUGGAGGCAUUUGCAUGUGGUAGAGAGAAUCCCCUGGUCAACUAUAGAGACCUGCCAAGAGGAAGGAUGUUAAGUGCCACAUGCCUUUCAAUGCAUGACUGUGAACACCUUGAAAUGCAUUAGUUGUAAGAAAUGUGCUAUAUAAAUAAAGUUUGAUUUGAUUGAUGACAC